Molecule: ribosomal RNA, 253 nt
Filed under: uncultured bacterium
Lineage: Bacteria
Description: partial 16S ribosomal RNA
Rfam family: Bacterial small subunit ribosomal RNA
Source: RNAcentral
UACAGAGGUGGCAAGCGUUGUUCGGAAUUACUGGGCGUAAAGGGCUCGUAGGCGGCCAACUAAGUCCGACGUGAAAUCCCCAGGCUUAACCUGGGAACUGCGUCGGAUACUGGAUGGCUUGAAUUCGGGAGAGGGAUGCAGAAUUCCAGGUGUAGCGGUGAAAUGCGUAGAUAUCUGGAGGAAUACCGGUGGCGAAGGCGGCAUCCUGGACCGACAUUGACGCUGAGGAGCGAAAGCUAGGGGAGCAAACGGG